This 486-nucleotide ribosomal RNA is filed under the name uncultured bacterium. RNAcentral's name for it is "partial 16S ribosomal RNA". It matches the Rfam family "Bacterial small subunit ribosomal RNA", at positions 899 to 1397 of the family's 1533-position model. The record is from RNAcentral.
ACUCAAAUGAAUUGACGGGGACCUGCACAAGCGGUGGAGCGUGUGGUUUAAUUCGUCAAUAAGCGGAGAACCUUACCAAGGAUUGACAUCUCUGGAACCCCCGAGAAACCGGGGGGUGCCGAAAGGAGCCAGAUGACAGGUGCUGCACGGUUGUCGUCAGCUCGUGCUGUGAAGUGUCCCGUUCAGUCGGUUAACGAGCGCAACCCUUACCCUAUGUUUCAAGUGUCAUAGGGAACUGCCCGUGUUAAGCGGGAGGAAGGUGAGGAUGACGUCAAAUCAGCGUGGCUCUUACGCCUUGGGCUACACACGCGCUACAAUGGCGUAGACAAUGGGUUGCCAACCCGCAAGGGGGAGCUAAUCCCACCAAACUACGCCCCAGUUCGGAUUGGAGGCUGCAAUUCGCCUCCAUGAAGUCGGAAUCGCUAGUAACGGCCGAUCAGCUAUGCGGCCGUGAAUACGUUCUCAGGUCUUGUACACACCGCCCGU